CUUCUUUUAUAGUACUCAUGCACCUUUACAUGCUUUGUGUAUUAUCAAUGUGGGACAACAUUAAAUUGUAGUGCUUAUUAGUUCAUAUGUGUGUAUAUAUACUCUAAUAAGCACAUAUGAUCUGGCAUACACAUAUUUGUCUGCAGGAAAAACCGAAAAAGAAUACAAAUUAAUCCUCUACCUGAAAAGAAAAUGUUUGUAAUCAAUAAUGGGACUGCAAUGCUAUUCUGACUAGUUUCAGAAUCUGAGUCUUCUAUGGGCAUAAGAUUUCUUUUAGCUUCUUGAUUUCUAGCAGUGAUCAUACACUCCAUAAUUAACAUAAUUGCAACUUUCAUCUCUUUUCUCAUACUAUAAACUACACAUCUAAAAUGUAAGACUAAAAUUGGUGGGGUGUGCCAAGCCAAGGCAAUAGUGCAAAACCAAGGCGACACUCAAAGACCCAGGCAGCAAGCUACCUUGGUGGAUCUUUCCCCUUAAAAAAUUGAGUUAAUAUCGUGUGAGCCAAUGGCUCACGUAUCAGAUAUUAAACUGAUAAGAACAGAUACUACACUUGAUCUUAGCCAAAAGGCCGAGAAAGGUAUGCUUUUCACUUUUGACAGCCCGCUUCUUUUAUGUUGCUAAUGUCCCUUCGCAUUCUCCCUACAGAAUCAAUGUGGGAACAUUUCAACAAUCUGGGAAAUAGAAGUCUGAUCACUCUGAUGAUAUGCAGAUGCUUUAUAUUUCAAUAUAUGCAAGUCUGAAACACUGUAGUUUAUACUUAUGAAAUGCCCUCAUCUUCAGACAUUAGUAUUGGAAAAGGAUCAUUGUUGUUGUUGCUGCUCUUACAGAUAUACCAGAAAUACCUUAGACUAAAAUUCAUUUUAUUAUAUUGCGUGUUCAUUUUUAGUG
This is a long non-coding RNA of Ipomoea nil (Japanese morning glory), 888 nucleotides long. RefSeq lists it as uncharacterized. The record is from RefSeq and is a predicted model, not a curated record. The transcript has 2 exons. NCBI's taxonomy places the organism in Eukaryota, Viridiplantae, Streptophyta, Magnoliopsida, Solanales, Convolvulaceae.